UACGUAGGGGGCAAGCGUUGUCCGGAUUUAUUGGGCGUAAAGAGCGUGUAGGCGGCCUGACAGGUCUGCUGUGAAAACUCGAGGCUCAACCUCGAGAUGUCGGCGGAAACCGUCUGGCUAGAGUCCGGAAGAGGAGAGUGGAAUUCCUGGUGUAGCGGUGAAAUGCGCAGAUAUCUGGAGGAACACCGGUGGCGAAGGCGGCGUUCUGGACUGCAACUGACACUGAGGAACGAAAGCCAGGGGAGCAAACGGG
Molecule: ribosomal RNA, 253 nt
Filed under: uncultured bacterium
Lineage: Bacteria
Description: partial 16S ribosomal RNA
Rfam family: Bacterial small subunit ribosomal RNA
Source: RNAcentral